UGGGGAAUUUCGGACAAUGGGCGAAAGCCUGAACCAGCCAUGCCGCGUGGAGGAUGACGGCCCUCUGGGUUGUAAACUCCUUUUAUCUGGGAAGAAAUGCAGAUUUUCUAAUCUGUUUGACGGUACCAGAGGAAUAAGCACCGGCUAACUACGUG
RNAcentral lists this ribosomal RNA (155 nucleotides) under uncultured bacterium. Its description in RNAcentral is "partial 16S ribosomal RNA". It matches the Rfam family "Bacterial small subunit ribosomal RNA", at positions 355 to 507 of the family's 1533-position model. The record is from RNAcentral.